AUACUUUUCAGAAGUUUUAUAAAUUUACAAAUUUAUUUCUUUUCAUUGAGUAACGUUUUAGAAAGGGAUAAUUGCCUAUAUACCUCUUAUACGCUCGGAUAUAUUCAAUCUACCCGCUUUUUUUUUCUUUCUAAAAUAUGGGUUAAAUGUGGGUUAAAUGUAUACUAGAGUUAAAACCUAAAUAAAAUAUCUAUUUUACCCCUACCAUAUUAUAUUAAUUCCUAAGUUAUCCUCCUCAUCCUCCUCGUCAUUCUCCUCUCCUGCUUCCCCCUAUCGUCGUCCCCAACCCCGACCCCAACCCCAUCGUCGCGGAGAGGACGGCGACCCCUUCGACCGCCCGCUCCUCCUUCCCCCGCCCC
Molecule: long non-coding RNA, 359 nt
Filed under: Ananas comosus (pineapple)
Lineage: Eukaryota; Viridiplantae; Streptophyta; Magnoliopsida; Poales; Bromeliaceae
Description: long non-coding RNA (ACOM_LNC032001)
Source: RNAcentral